Molecule: non-coding RNA, 117 nt
Organism: Homo sapiens (human)
Lineage: Eukaryota; Metazoa; Chordata; Mammalia; Primates; Hominidae
Rfam family: Metazoan signal recognition particle RNA
About the family: The signal recognition particle (SRP) is a universally conserved ribonucleoprotein.
Source: Rfam
GCCAGGCAUGGCGGCUCAUGCCUGUAAUCCCAGCACUUUGGGAGGCUGAGGUGGGCGGAUCGCCUGAGGUCAGGAGUUCCAGACCAGCCUGACCAACAUGGUGAAACCCCGUCUCUA